Non-coding RNA from Caenorhabditis brenneri, 73 nucleotides. NCBI's taxonomy places the organism in Eukaryota, Metazoa, Nematoda, Chromadorea, Rhabditida, Rhabditidae. The record is from the annotation of a GenBank genome assembly.
GCCCUCGUGGCCUAGUGGUGAACGUUCUUGUUUUCCAAAUUUCAUCUCCCGGGUUCAAUUCCACCCGGGGGCA